GCUAAGAACUCUGGUAACAAAGAAACUAUCCGUCGUGGAGCUCUCAUGAAGAUGCUUCUGAACUGCGCCCAGACCUUACCACUCUGGAUUGGCAAUUCCGGAGAGAAGCCGCCUGCUCUGUGCGGCGCCGUACCACCCGAACAGAACUAUGUGGCUAAGGUAAUUAACGUCAACGACAUGGUAGCUUGUCUCGUACGGGGCAGCGAGGGAGAGGACAAUUGGAUCCUAGCCGAGGUCGUUAGCUACAACACAACGACCAAUAAAUACGAGGUGGACGACAUCGACGAGGAACAGAAGGAACGACACACACUCAGCCGUCGACGAGUCUAUCCUCUCCCGUUGAUGAGGGCUAAUCCUGAAGUCAAUCCUGAGGCACUUUACCCUAAAGGCUCCAUUGUAAUGGCUCUCUACCCUCAAACGACGUGCUUCUACAAGGCCGUCAUUAACCGCCUGCCCACUCUGGCCACCGAGGAAUAUGAGGUACUGUUCGAGGACCCCACCUAUGCCGAUGGCUACUCCCCCCCGCUGAUGGUGGCUCAGAGAUACGUCAUUCAGAUCAAGGAGGUUAGCAAGAAGAAGUGAAGCGUCGUCAAGCGUUCGGGGUCGUGGAGGUGAUUAGUGAAGCGUUUUGGAGUUGUUACAGUGAUUAGUGAUGCGUUUUGGAGUUGUUACAGUGAUUAGUGAAGCGUUUUGGAGUUGUUACAGUGAUUAGUGAUGCGUUUUGGAGUUGUUACAGUGAUUAGUGAAGCGUUUUGGAGACUUUGUGGAGGUGAUUAGUGGUGUGGUUUGGGGUCGUGGAGGUGAUUAGUGAAGCAUUUUGGAGUUGUUACAGUGAUUAGUGAUGCGUUUUGGAGACUUUGUGGAGGUGAUAGUGAAGCAUUUGGGGUCUUGAAGGUGAUUAGUGAAGCAUUUUGGAGUUGUUACAGUGAUUAGUGAUGCGUUUUGGAGACUUUGUGGAGGCGAUAGUGAAGCAUUUGAGGUCAUUGAGAUUACAUUGACGCGUUUGGUUGAUCCGAUGGAGUUUGCUUACGUCGCGUGCUGAAUUAUUGUCAUGGCGACCGCAGACGUUGAUUCUGUUUAUUUAUACGGCGCGCAAGACGAGGUCGUUAGGCGUGUGUGUUUUAUGAGUUUUUUCCCGUAUUCGAGUUUGAGAUCUAGUAUAAUUAGUGCCCCUCCCAAGUGCUCACCUGAAGAUUAGAUUCCCCAAGUGCUCACCUGAAGAUUAGUUCCCCCACAGUACUCACCUGAAGAACCACCCUCCCACCUAGUUUAACCACCCCUCUAACUAUCUACUGGUGAUAGGGUGACUAAUUUCCAGGUCACACGUAAACACUAGAAUGACCUAAUCACCCCGUUCGCGAAAUAGCAUGAGUGAAUGACUCGUCGAACUAACACAUGCAGAAUACACAAGCAAAACGAAUCCAAAAAGUUAAAUUCUCUGCUUGUCGAGGAAUCCAAAAUGACUACAGCCCUAAAUAACGUUGUAAAAUGAUAAAAUACAGUACAGUAAUUGUAUCUACAGUGAACAUAUGUAGAAUUUGUAAAUAUGUGUUUGGGUUACUGUAUACUGUGUAACUGAAAUACAGUACUGUAGCUUGACUGUACCUACAUAAACUUUGAAAUAUAUUAAUGUGGGAACUGAAAUAUCACUGUAAGCUAAAAUACAGUACUGUAGCUUGACUGUACCUACAUAAACUUUGAAAUAUGUUAAUGUGGGAACUGAAAUACCACUGUAAGCUAAAAUACAGUACUGUAGCUUGACUGUACCUACAUAAACUUUGAAAUAUGUUAAUGUGGGAACUGAAAUACCACUGUAAGCUAAAAUACAGUACUGUAGCUUGACUGUAUCUACAUAAACUUUGAAAUUUGUUAAUGUGGGAACUGAAAUAUCACUGUAAGCUAAAAUACAGUACUGUAGCUUGACUGUACCUACAUAAACUUUGAAAUAUAUUAAUGUGGGAACUGAAAUACCACUGUAAGCUGAAAUACAGUACUGUAGCUUGACUGUACCUAUAUAAACUUUGAAAUAUGUUAAUGGGAACUGAAAUACCACUGUAAGCUAAAAUACAGUACUGUAGCUUGACUGUACCUACAUAAACUUUGAAAUUUGCUGAUGUGGGAACUGAAAUACCACUGUAAGCUAAAAUACAGUACUGUAGCUUGACUGUACCUACAUAAACUUUGAAAUUUGUUAAUGUGGGAACUGAAAUACCACUGUAAGCUAAAAUACAGUACUGUAGCUUGACUGUGCCUACAUAAACUUUGAAAUAUGUUAAUGUGGGAACUGAAAUACCACUGUAAGCUAAAAUACAGUACUGUAGCUUGACUGUAUCUACAUAAACUUUGAAAUUUGUUAAUGUGGGAACUGAAAUAUCACUGUAAGCUAAAAUACAGUACUGUAGCUUGACUGUACCUACAUAAACUUUGAAAUAUGUUAAUGUGGGAACUGAAAUACUACUGUAAGCUGAAAUACAGUACUGUAGCUUGACUGUACCUACAUAAACUUUGAAAUAUGUUAAUGUGGGAACUGAAAUACUACUGUAAGCUGAAAUACAGUACUGUAGCUUGACUGUACCUACAAAAUAGUACAUAGGCCUAAUUUUUAGUACAAUAUCAGAUUGAAAAAAGCAUUACAAAAUAUAAGGAAAUAUUUUAACUUGUACAAAACUUAUUAUAUAAAUGACAUAAAUUA
RNAcentral lists this unclassified non-coding RNA (2692 nucleotides) under Homarus americanus (American lobster). RNAcentral describes it as "sAGA-associated factor 29-like, transcript variant X1". The record is from RNAcentral. Lineage: Eukaryota; Metazoa; Arthropoda; Malacostraca; Decapoda; Nephropidae.